AAAGGUGAAUGUUUUUCUUUUCAUCUCCAUGUUCCUGAUUAUUAAUUUUCUUCCUAUUUUCUUUAUGGUCUAUUUUUUUUCUUCUUUUUUCCUCCUUGUAAAGUUGAAUAAUAAUGGAGUUUCUGACUCCUAACUUUGUAGUACAAAUUGGUGAAUAAUCAGAGAUUUUUCAAUGUUACCUUUGGAGAACCAAGGAACUACCUUCAAAAAUCUUCCGCUACAGGCUUUAUAAGCAGAUCCGUUUUUCGCAGAGAUUUUGUUGAAAAGAAAUCAAAACAAAUACUGAAUGCAGAGCACCAAAAUAGGUCCAUGUACUUGACAGCUGAGAAGGUUUUGGUAAAUCUGGCAAAUUCUUCUUCACUUUUUUAAAAAUAUUAACUUGUCUAUGAUUAAUCCUGUAUGUGAUGCUCUAGCUUUUGUAAAUUUUUCAAAACUUGGGUAUUUUUUUGGAAAAUACAUUUAUUUUUACUAAAUCUUAACUAAACAUAAUUUAUUUUGCCGACCAAAAGAUGAUGGCAGUACACCUAAAAUGUCCACUAUUUGGCUUCACUGUUUCUGAGAAGUGGAUUGAAACUGCCUUAAAUCUCUGAGAUUUAAAAUCUCUGAAGAAGCUCUGAGACACACCUCCCUGAUGCAGAAACCCGAAGAAUAAAUUCAUGGAUGCCGAAUUUUCAUUACUUUUACCCUCUAUCCUGGAUUGGUCCUUUGGCACCCAUGGAAGCAUCACACUUAGAAUUAAGUGUCACGAUGCUGAGCAGUGCUCAGGAUGAAAACUGUGUAUUAGAACAAUUACGCCUCAGGGUGAAUGUGUAAGUAUAAUGAUACUGAAACUUGGCUUCUUUUCAAAAUAUACAAGUCUCUGACAGUUUGGUAUUGAAAAGCAAGUGAUUCACAUACAUAAAAAAUAGAAGCAGACCAAAAAUGUCAAGGUUUGACAGAGGGCAAAUCCAAAAUACUUCCAAUAAGAGGAAAAAGAGUUCAUUUUAAAAGCGUAAUUGCUGAGUGUCUUCUCA
RNAcentral lists this long non-coding RNA (1013 nucleotides) under Parus major (Great Tit). Its description in RNAcentral is "lncRNA (ENSPMJG00000002628.1)". The record is from RNAcentral. Lineage: Eukaryota; Metazoa; Chordata; Aves; Passeriformes; Paridae.